Molecule: ribosomal RNA, 216 nt
Filed under: uncultured bacterium
Lineage: Bacteria
Description: partial 16S ribosomal RNA
Rfam family: Bacterial small subunit ribosomal RNA
Source: RNAcentral
AAAGACCUGUCUCAGUUCGGAUUGGAGUCUGCAACCCGACUCCAUGAAGCUGGAUUCGCUAGUAAUCGCGCAUCAGCCACGGCGCGGUGAAUACGUUCCCGGGCCUUGUACACACCGCCCGUCAAGCCAUGGAAGCCGGGGGUGCCUGAAGUGCGCUGCCGCAAGGAGCGCCCUAGGGUAAAACCGGUGACUGGGGCUAAGUCGUAACAAGGUACC